UGUGUUGGCUUAGUGGUAGAGCGCUCACCUAGCAUGUGUGAGCUCCUGGGUUCGAUCCUCAGCACCACAU
Non-coding RNA from Ictidomys tridecemlineatus (thirteen-lined ground squirrel), 70 nucleotides. NCBI's taxonomy places the organism in Eukaryota, Metazoa, Chordata, Mammalia, Rodentia, Sciuridae. The record is from Rfam.